UCCCUGGUGGUCCAGCGGCAGAGACUCCACACUCUCAAUGCAGGGAGCCCAGGUUCGAUCCCUGGUCCGGGAA
Bos taurus (domestic cattle) is the source of this 73-nucleotide non-coding RNA. The record is from Rfam. NCBI's taxonomy places the organism in Eukaryota, Metazoa, Chordata, Mammalia, Artiodactyla, Bovidae.